AAAUGUAUGUAGGGCUUUAGUCAAGGUUCACUGAUCACUCAGGACCCUUCAUUGCCGGCUAGGUGAGUGCCCCCUUCCUCCCUCACUGUUCCAUGGGCAUCCCUCCUGAAGCUGCAGGCUCAGUUGAAGAGGACAACCUUUCAGAAUAGAGGAGGACCAGUCUUUGGUCAAGGGUAUACGAGGAGCUGUGCUCCCCUGCUAGAAGCUCCAAACAGGCUCUCAGUUAAUGUUCUGUUGAUUGGGAUUUUUCUACUAUAUAAAUACUUUGAAAAUUCUCCUAUCUUAUAAA
Non-coding RNA from Rattus norvegicus (Norway rat), 289 nucleotides. NCBI's taxonomy places the organism in Eukaryota, Metazoa, Chordata, Mammalia, Rodentia, Muridae. The record is from Rfam.